GCGCGCCUAGUGUAAUGGAUAUCACGUGAGAUUCCGGUUCUUGAGAUGAGGGUUCGAUUCCCCCGGUGCGCA
Transfer RNA from Weissella kandleri, 72 nucleotides. It matches the Rfam family "tRNA". From Rfam's summary of the family: Transfer RNA (tRNA) molecules are approximately 80 nucleotides in length. Their secondary structure includes four short double-helical elements and three loops (D, anti-codon, and T loops). The record is from Rfam. Lineage: Bacteria; Bacillati; Bacillota; Bacilli; Lactobacillales; Lactobacillaceae.